Molecule: ribosomal RNA, 467 nt
Filed under: uncultured bacterium
Lineage: Bacteria
Description: partial 16S ribosomal RNA
Rfam family: Bacterial small subunit ribosomal RNA
Source: RNAcentral
ACGAACGCUGGCGGCGUGCUUAACACAUGCAAGUCGCACGGAAAGGCCCUGCUUUUGUGGGGUGCUCGAGUGGCGAACGGGUGAGUAACACGUGAGUAACCUGCCCUUGACUUUGGGAUAACUUCAGGAAACUGGGGCUAAUACCGGAUAGGAGCUCCUGCUGCAUGGUGGGGGUUGGAAAGUUUCGGCGGUUGGGGAUGGACUCGCGGCUUAUCAACUUGUUGGUGGGGUAGUGGCUUACCAAGGCUUUGACGGGUAGCCGGCCUGAGAGGGUGACCGGCCACAUUGGGACUGAGAUACGGCCCAGACUCCUACGGGAGGCAGCAGUGGGGAAUAUUGCACAAUGGGCGGAAGCCUGAUGCAGCAACGCCGCGUGCGGGAUGACGGCCUUCGGGUUGUAAACCGCUUUCGCCUGUGACGAAGCGUGAGUGACGGUAAUGGGUAAAGAAGCACCGGCUAACUACGUG